GACGAACGCUGGCGGCGUGCUUAACACAUGCAAGUCGAACGUGAUUUUUGUGGAAAUUCUUUCGGGAAUGGAAAUGAAAUGAAAGUGGCGAACGGGUGAGUAACACGUGAGCAACCUACCUUACACAGGGGGAUAGCCGUUGGAAACGACGAUUAAUACCGCAUGAGACCACAGAAUCGCAUGAUAUAGGGGUCAAAGAUUUAUCGGUGUAAGAAGGGCUCGCGUCUGAUUAGCUAGUUGGAAGGGUAAAGGCCUACCAAGGCGACGAUCAGUAGCCGGUCUGAGAGGAUGAACGGCCACAUUGGAACUGAGACACGGUCCAAACUCCUACGGGAGGCAGCAGUGGGGAAUAUUGCACAAUGGGGGGAACCCUGAUGCAGCGACGCCGCGUGAGCGAAGAAGGUUUUCGAAUCGUAAAGCUCUGUCCUAUGAGAAGAUAAUGACGGUAUCAUAGGAGGAAGCCCCGGCUAAAUACGUGCCAGCAGCCGCGGUAAUACGUAUGGGGCGAGCGUUGUCCGGAAUUAUUGGGCGUAAAGGGUACGUAGGCGGUUUUUUAAGUCAGGUGUGAAAGCGUGAGGCUUAACCUCAUUAGGCACUUGAAACUGGAAGACUUGAGUGAAGGAGAGGAAAGUGGAAUUCCUAGUGUAGCGGUGAAAUGCGUAGAUAUUAGGAGGAAUACCGGUGGCGAAGGCGACUUUCUGGACUUUUACUGACGCUCAGGUACGAAAGCGUGGGGAGCAAACAGG
This 746-nucleotide ribosomal RNA is filed under the name uncultured Parvimonas sp. Its description in RNAcentral is "bacterial SSU rRNA". It matches the Rfam family "Bacterial small subunit ribosomal RNA", at positions 28 to 776 of the family's 1533-position model. The record is from RNAcentral. Lineage: Bacteria; Bacillati; Bacillota; Tissierellia; Tissierellales; Peptoniphilaceae.